This 7345-nucleotide long non-coding RNA is filed under the name Citrus maxima (pomelo). Its description in RNAcentral is "long non-coding RNA (CMAX_LNC000188)". Lineage: Eukaryota; Viridiplantae; Streptophyta; Magnoliopsida; Sapindales; Rutaceae. The record is from RNAcentral.
CUGAUAGCCAAAGUGGUGCUCCAGCUGAGUAUGAUGAUGAUGAAGAGGACGAAGAGGAACAUGACAGAGAAUUAGAAGAAGAAGAUGAAGAAGGGGAUGUUUAUGAGUAUGAAGAGGAAGACGAUUUUUAUGAAGAAGUGGAAAGGAAUGACGAGGCGGUUAAAGUCAAAGAAAUAGAGGGUAAUGAUGCAAGAGGAGUACAGAGGGCGCAGUGGAAGUGAGUAAAGGGAAUUAUGAUAAUGGCAAUGGUGCUAAAACAAUGAUGCAGCGAAUGAGGGAAUAGAGGAAGGGGAGAAGGAGAGUAAUGAGCCUUUUGCACAGCAGCCGGGGCUUUUUAUAUGGGACAAUGUUGCAGGUCGACACAGGUAUUAUUUGAUUUGAGUGAUCUAUAAAUAACUGAUAGCUGUACUUUCGUUAGGCUUGUCGAUUAGUCUAGUCUCGUUUUUUGGUGCUGUCUAAUGAUUGUUUGCUGGAAUUUGUGUAGAAGGCUUUUGGCGUAGUAGGUUGAAAGGAGAGAAAGUUCUCAAGUAAAGAUCUGUGCUUUGUGGUGUCAAAAGCAGCCAUCUAGAUGGUCUAAAGCAGCCAUCUAAAUGGUCAGCAACAAUUUGUUCAAACAAGAAGAAUUUGGUAGCAGCAAAUAUGGAAUGAAGAAAAUUGAAAAAAAAAGAAGUUUGAAGAAGAAAAUGGGGAACACAAUUUUGACGAGAAAAAAAAAAUUAAUUAUUAUUUUAAUAGCCAAUUUUGGCUAUAUAAAGGGAGCUCUUCAUUUGGUUUUCUGCAUUCAAUUCCAUUGAGAGAGAAGCAUUGCCUUGCUUUAGAGUUGAGAGUAUUAAAGAGUUUAAUAAACUCUUGAGUGAUUAGUGUUAUGAGAGUUUGGGUGUAUUGGGGUUUUGGAAGUGAGCUAAAAUACUACAAUACUUGUAACUCCUUUUCACUAGUAAAAUAUUUCCUUUUGUCUUCGCCCGUGGAUGUAGGCUGAAAGCCGAACCACGUAAUUUCUGGUGUCCUCUAUUGUGCUUAUUCUUUAUUUUUCUACCAAUUUUGCUUUAGCUGCGGUCCUACUUCACCCAUCAAUUUCCUAACAGUGGUAUCAGAGCUAUUGGUUGUAUUUUUGGAGUCGGGAACUGUUCACGUAAGGGGUACUAUUCACGUAUAUGGUACUGUUCACGUAUACAAUACUGUUCACGUAUACGGUACUAUUCACGUAUACGAUACUGUUCACAUAUUUGGUACACUAACUUGUGUGCAGUAUUGAUCAACAAAAUGGCGACAAAGUAUGAAAUUGAGAAGUUUAACGGAAAUAAUUUUUCGUUGUGGAAAAUGAAGAUGAAAGCUGUAUUGAGGAAAAAUAAUUGCUUGGCAGCAAUUGGAGAAAGGCCCAUGGAGAUAACUGAUGACAAGUGGAACGAGGUAGACGGCAACGCCAUUUCUGAUCUACACUUGGCACUUGCGGAUGGAGUAUUAUCCAGUGUGGUAGAGAAAAAUAAGGCGAAGGAAAUAUGGGAUACUCUCACAAAAUUGUAUGAGGCCAAGUCACUACACAACAAAAUCUUCUUGAAGAGAAAACUCUAUAUUCUUCGAAUGGCGGAAUCUACAAUGGUGACCGACCAUAUCAACACAUUGAAGACUCUAUUUUCACAACUCACAAUGUUGGGUCAUAAUAUAGAGGAAAAUGAACGUGCAGAGCUUCUACUUCAAAGUCUACCAGAUUCGUAUGAUCAACUUAUCAUCAACCUGACGAACAACAAUCCAGUGGAGAGUCUAGUUUUCGAUGAUAUUGCAGCCUCCGUAUUAAAUGAGGAAAGCAGGCGAAAAAAUAAGGAAAAUAGACAAGCAAGUUCGCAGCAAGCAGAAGCGCUAUCGGUGACGAGAGGGAGAUCAAUGGAACGUGGCCCCAGUGGGAGUCAAAAUCUGAGUAGAUCAAAAUUCAGAAGUAAGAAGAAUGUUAAAUGCUACAAAUGUGGCAAGAAAGGGCACGUCAAGAAAGAAUGUUGGAGUAACUAGAAGAGAAAAGAGGGCAAAGAACCUGAGUCAUCAAAUGCUCAGGGUUGUGUAGCAAGCACCUCGGAUGAUGGCGAAAUUCUUUACAGCGAGGCAACAACUGUUUCAGAAGGCAAAAAACGACUUUCUGAUGUCUGGCUUAUAGACUCAGGAGCUACCUGGCACAUGACCUCUAGGAGAGAAUGGUUCCACACAUAUGAACCUAUCUCAGGAGGAUCUGUAUAUAUGGGAGAUGAUCAUGCCUUGGAGAUCGCUGGUAUUGGUACUAUCAAAAUAAAAAUGUUUGAUGGUACAAUUCGCACAAUUGGAGAGGUACGACAUGUCAAUGGCUUGAAGAAAAAUCUAUUGUCUUUGGGAUAAAUGGAUAGUCAUGGGUACAAAACUCAUGUGGAGAAUGAAAUUAUGAAGAUCGUUAAAGGCGCGCUUGUAUUGAUGAAGGCAGAAAAGAUCGGUGCUAAUCUAUUCAUGCUUAAAGGAGAAACACUACAGGAGGCUGAUGCGUGUGUCGCGUCAAAUGGAGAAGAAUCAACGAUGAUGUGGCAUCUCAAACUUGGCCACAUGUCAGAAUAAGGUUUGAAGAUUCUCUCUGAGGGAAAAUUGCUUCCGGGGCUCAAAUCGGUAAGUUUACCAUUUUGUGAGCAUUGUGUUACAAGUAAGCAACAUAGAUUAAAAUUCAGUAGAUCUAUUGCUAGAAGUAAAUGCAUUCUAGACUUGAUUCAUUCUGAUGUUUGGGAAUCACCGGAUAUAUCCAUGGGAGGUGCAAAGUACAUGGUGACUUUCAUUGAUGAUUAUUCCAGAAGAUGUUGGGUGUAUCCAAUUAAGAAAAAGUCAGAUGUAUUUAUAGUGUUUAAAGAAUACAAAGCGCGGGUGGAACUUGAAUCUGGUAAAAAGAUCAAGUGCUUGAGGACAGAUAAUGGUGGAGAGUAUACAGACGGCGAGUUUCUUGCUUUCUGUAAGCAAAAAGGUAUUCAGAGGCAGUUCACGGUAGCAUACACUCCUCAACAAAAUGGAGUGGCAGAGCGGAUGAACAGAACUCUUACAGAAAGAAUAAGAGCUAUGUUGAGGACUGCUGGUCUACCCAAUUCAUUCUGGGCAGAAGCAGCCAAAACUGCCUGUUAUAUAGUAAAUCGGUCGCCAUCUACAGCUAUUGGGUUGAAGACGGCAAUGGAGAUGUGGACUGGAAAGCCAACUGAUUAUUCCUACCUACAUGCAUUUGGAUGUCCUGUGUACGUGAUGUACAAUGCCCAAGAAAGAACAAAGCUGGAUGCAAAAUCUAGAAGAUGUAUCUUCUUGGGAUAUGCUGAUGGAGUAAAGGGGUAUCGUCUGUGGGACCCCACUGCCCACAAGAUCGUCAUCAGCAGAGAUGUUAUUUUUGUAGAAGAUCAACUGCAAAGAAAAGAUGGAGAUGACGACACUGUAAAAGAAAAGUCAAAAACUAUGCCGGUAUAUGUCGAAAAUAAUCCAGAAAAUUCAGAUUCUUCUAAAGCAGCACCAGAGCACAAGAACAAGAACCAGUCGAGUCUGAGGCUCUAGAAGUUCGUCGGUCAACUCGUGAGAGACGACCGCCGGCGUGGCACUCGGAGUAUGUCACAGAGAUCAACGUUGCAUACUGUCUUCUAACAGAGGAUGAAGAGCCUUCAACUUUUCAUGAAGCUUUAGAAAGCUCAGAUAUUGCUUUGUGGAUGACAGCAAUGCAGGAAGAAAUUGAAGCUCUACACAAGAACAAGACAUGGGAACUUGUACCACUACCACGUGGAAGAAAAGCCAUUGGAAACAAAUGGGUCUACAAGAUCAAGCGUGAUGGCAAUGACCAAGCGGAACGGUAUCGUGCAAGAUUGGUGGUGAAAGGAUAUGCUCAGAAAGAAUGUAUUGACUUCAACGAGAUAUUUUCUCCGGUGGUUCGACUCACAACAGUCAGAAUAGUCUUGGCGAUGUGUGCUACAUUUGAUCUACAUCUUGAGCAGUUAGAUGUGAAAACUGCAUUUCUUCAUGGAGAACUUGAAGAAGAAAUAUAUAUGCUCCAACCAGAAGGUUUUGCAGAAACAGGAAAGGAGAACUUGGUUUGCAGGUUGAACAAAUCUUUAUACGGUCUCAAACAGGCGCCGAGGUGUUGGUAUAAGAGAUUUGAUUCCUUCAUCAUGAGCCUUGGAUACAACAGACUCAGUUCAGACCAUUGUACAUAUUACAAGAGGUUUGAAGAUAAUGAUUUCAUUAUUUUGCUGUUGUAUGUGGAUGACAUGUUGGUAGCAGGUCCCAACAAAGAUCGAAUCCAAGAAUUGAAGGCACAUUUAGCUAGGGAGUUUGAAAUGAAGGACUUGGGACCAGCAAAAAGAUUCUAGGGAUGCAAAUUCACCGAGACAGAAAUAACAGGAAAAUUUGGCUUUCGCAGAAGAAUUACUUGAAGAAAAUCUUGCGACGCUUCAACAUGCAAGAUUGUAAGUCAAUUUCUACCCCACUUCCUGUUAAUUUCAAAUUAUCCUCAAGUAUGUGUCCUAGUAAUGAAGUAGAGAGGAAGGAGAUGUCUCGAGUACCGUAUGCAUCAGCAGUGGGAAGUUUAAUGUUCGCUAUGAUAUGUACAAGACCAGACAUUGCACAAGCAGUGGGAGCAGUCAGUCGAUACAUGGCGAAUCCUGGUGGAGAGCAUUGGAUAGCUGUGAAGAGGAUUCUGAGAUACAUUAGAGGAACCUCAGGUGUUGCAUUAUGUUAUGGAGGAUCAGAGUUUACUGUCAGGGGCUAUGUAGAUUCAGAUUUUGCAGGAGACCUUGAUAAAAGGAAAUCCACUACUGGUUAUGUGUUUACACUUGCGAGAGCAGCUGUAAGCUGGGUUUCAAAACUGCAGACCGUUGUGGCUUUAUCUACAACAGAAGCAGAGUACAUGGCAUCUACACAAGCUUGCAAGGAAGCUAUUUGGAUACAAAGGUUAUUGGAGGAGCUCGGGCACAAACAAGAGAAAAUUUCUGUGUUUUGUGACAGUCAGAGUGCUUUGCACAUUGCAAGGAAUCCAGCCUUUCAUUCCAGGACAAAGCACAUAGGAGUUCAGUAUCACUUCGUUCGAGAAGUAGUGGAAGAUAGAAGUGUGGAUUUACAGAAAAUCUAUACCAAAGAGAACUUAGCAGAUGUUUUGACCAAGCCGAUAAAUACUGAUAAGUUUGUCUGGAGUAGAUCCUCUUGUGGCCUAGCAGAAACGUAGGCAACAUGAUUAUGGCGAAGCAGAAAGGAUGGUGUGGAGAUUGAUUGAUUCUCAAUCUAAUCUCCAAGUGGGAGAAAUGUCAAAAGCAGCCAUCUAGAUGGUCUAAAGCAGCCAUCUAGAUGGUCAGCAACAAUUUGUUCAAACAAGAAGAAUUUGGCAGCAGCAAAUAUGGAAUGAAGAAAAUUGAAAAAAAAAGAAGUUUGAAGAAGAAAAUGGGGAACACAAUUUUGACGAGAAAAGAAAAAUUAAUUAUUAUUUUAAUAGCCAAUUUUGGCUAUAUAAAGGGAGCUCUUCAUUUGGUUUUCUGCAUUCAAUUCCAUUGAGAGAGAAGCAUUGCCUUCCUUUAGAGUUGAGAGAAUUAAAGAGUUUAAUAAACUCUUGAGUGAUUAGUGUUAUGAGAGUUUGGGUGUAUUGGGGUUUUGGAAGUGAGCUAAAAUACUACAAUACUUGUAACUCCUUUUCACUAGUAAAAUAUUUCCUUCUGUCUUCGCCCGUGGAUGUAGGCUGAAAGCCGAACCACGUAAUUUCUGGUGUCCUCUAUUGUGCUUGUUCUUUAUUUUUCUACCAAUUUUGCUUUAGCUGCGGUCCUACUUCACCCACCAAUUUCCUAACAUGUGGAAUAUAAUUAAUAGGGACAAAGUAUACUAAAUUACUUGAUAGAUAGAUGCCGAGCUAAUCAUGAGCUAUGAUAGCAUUAUUCGUGCUUUGUGUAUUUUUAUUAGGGCUUGUCUAUUUCAAAGUGUGGAGUAUAGAAUUUUUGGGUUAAGUUUGAGUGAUGAAGUGUUAGAUAGGUUUCUGUUUUGCAUAGUUAAGCCGUCAAUACGAGCUAUCGAAACAGAUAUGGAGCAGGAUAUCUAGUUUUGGGUUUGGUCUUAGUUUGAAGAUGGCUACUGAUUAUGCAGCUAGGUACGUAUUCGUGUUUGUGGAUUUCUAAAUGCUUUCUGUCAAAUGUGACUAGAUUAUUACUAAAAGUGCAUGGAUCUUACACUUAAUUAAUUAUAUAUCCAUUUGUAAUGUUCAAAAUGAUAAUGUACUUUUGCUUGAAAUUAUGCUUUCAAGACAUCAUUUUGAAAAUCCAUGGUUAUAAUGUGUCUCUAAAUUCAGUAAUACAAGUUCUGUCAAUUGCUGUUGGAUGCAGUGACCUGAAUAGUUUAAUAUUCAUUUGCAGAAAGGAGUUGAGAAAGAAAACUAAAAAUUUCUGUGCGUGCUGCUGGAAAUUUAAAUAGCUUCAUUUGAGCAUUAAUUGCCGGCAUGAUCUCUUAGACUUCUCUUGCAUUGAAUGAAUGGAUGAGUGCUAAUCCAUGCAAAGACUUCCAUGCAUGCACAAUGAAUGCUACAUCAAAGGUAUGGUAAAAUGUCAGCAAGCUUGGCCCAAAUUAUCAAGCUGGUUUGGUGGCUGCUAGAUUUGUUCAUCCGGAUUUUGGACCAUUUUCCUUGACAAUGAGAAAAGCUCCAAGAUCUGUAAAUCGAAAACUCAUUGAAAUGCCAAAAGAGAGAUGGAAGUGAAUAAGUAGAGUGUUAGUGAAAAGAGGGUGUAGUGAUUGUGUGGGAAGCUUUGGGUAUAACUGGGGUUUGGAUGUGAGAUAAAAUAUUUUGAGAGUGAAGUUGUAACAAUUUUGUACGUAGAUAAAUUUUUUGUCUCGUUGUCCUUGGCAACUGUGGUUUUUUAUUUGGGUAAUAGAGUUUUUCAGGUAACUCUUUUGUUGUGUGAUCCGAGUAUUCUCUGUUGUAUUUCUUUUAUUUGUUAUUUAUUUGACGUAUUGCUAGCAGAGAUCUUGGGUGGGAAUAAAAAAUUCCCAACAAUUGUCAGUUGUUUUAAACUCUAUUCCGAACAGAGCAUGAAGGGAUUCACUUAUCUAAUUAUGUCAUUUAUGCUUUAACUUCACUUCAUUUCAUCUUGUCCGUCACCUUUACUAAAGUUGUGUAUGUUGGAGUAUUAGGUUCAUCACAAGGAUCAUAUUAUGGCUAAGGAAGGAGCACAGUUUAUUAGCUACACUCAAGUGUAGCAGAGUAUUUGGAUUCAAGACUGUUAUAAGGUUGUUACAGAUGCAAUGCUGUUGCUGUGCAACUGUAUGCCAUGCUCGCAAGUGCGCUGUAACAGAUUGCUCAGCAGGCACCGGAUAUUUUAAGCUAAUUUUGGUAAUUAGUCUAGAG